UUUCGAUUAAAAUGUUUGAUGUUAGGAGAUACAAACUCAAUCUUGAUGUGAUUAAUUAAAUUUCAUAAUUUAAUUGUUUAGAUGUUUUUAAAAAAGCUAUGUUAUGCUUUGUUUUAGCGAUGCAGAUAUUUUUAUUUAUUCUGUCUUAGGUCAUAUGGUUUUAAUUAUGCUCUAAUAUAUUCUCUGUCAUGUUGUUUUGUAUUGCAUCAUUAGUUCAAAAUUAUUAAGUUUAUGUUUAAAUUAUUUUCGGAAUUCAUGACGUAACUUCAAAAAAUUCACAAUAUCAAUUGAUGGAUUUUCCAAAUCUUUAUUCCUAUAAACCUUUCUUGUAUAUUUUGAAAUUUUGAUAUUUUAUUAUAUAUGUAUUAUUUUUGCUAUACUAUAUAUUUAACUAAAUUUUUAAUUAUUUUAUUUUAUUAUAUUGAUAUUUUCACAAAUUUUUAAUAACCUUGUUUUAGUUAUGUAUUAAUUUUUGGUUGUGAAUUUUUACUAAUUUUUAGUUUCAUAAAUAAAAAAUAUUUUUUUUGUUAUAUUCACUCUUUUUAGGGCUGAGUUUGAUGGAACUGAAAAAUUAAUAUCUUAUAUAGAUACUUUAUUUUAUUUCUUAUGUAAAUUUUUUGUUUAUUUUUGAAAUUAAUCUAAUUGUAUUACAUGUUUUCACCAAACUUAAGUUAUACUAUGUAUUUUAAUAAAAUUUAAGUAUUAUUUAUUAUAUUUCUUAUUCUACAAAAUGAUUUUUAAAAGAAUAUAUGUUUUGUAUUAAUUUUAGGUUGAGAUUCUUUCUGUAAAUUUUUCUAACUUUAAGCUUCAUGACCAAAAAGAGAAGAACAAAAUUUUUGUGAGAUUCACUUUUUUUCUUACAGAUUUAAUGAAAUGGGAAGAAUCAUUAUCACAGAUAAAACUUUCAUUUAUUAAAUUAUUGUUUUUGAUACAUUGAUAUCAAAAUUUACCGAACUAAAAUAAUGAAUCAUUUAAAAUAUUUUAUGGAUUAAUUAAUGGUCUAUUUAAUUUUUUUUUAAAAAUAUUUAAAAUAAAAAAUGUGAGACAAUUACUAAAUAUAUUAAAACUAUGCUACUUAUUGGUUGGAUAAUAUUUAUGAAAGAUAAUGUAUCACUCUCUAAAGAGAAAGAUCAACUUUAUUUAUUUAUCUAGAUUAUAUUUUCUCACUUUUCAAAAUGGUGUUAAUAUGGUUUAAUAUUUUAUUUUUUACUUUACGAGUAAAUAAAAUUUAUUAAGUUAAAAAUUAUAGGAAACUUUUGGAAAAAUAAAAUUAUAUGAGAUCUUAUUUUGAAACAAUACCAUUUUCUAAGUUUCUGAAAAAUACACUUUUGUAUAUAUAAAUUUACUAAAUUAUCCUAUCUAAAUAUUUAAUGUUAUCUUCAAAUUAUUGUCAUCAUAAUUUAAUGACUAUUUAAAUUAACGUUUUGAACAAGCAUUUUAAAAAAUUAAGAAAUAUAAAAUAUAUUUUAAAAUUUUAUUAAAAUUGAAAACAAACAUUGUCUUGUGCAUCUACGUCUUUGUUAUCUUUUAUUCUCCAUUUUUGCAAAGUAUUUUUUUUGAUGAAAAAAAUACUUUGAAAAAAUGGAGAAUAAAAGAUAACAAAGAAGUAGAUGCAAAGUAUUUUUUUUCUCUAGUUUCAUAAUUCAUUCUUCCUCUUGUUCAAAGCUUAGUUAAUUUUUCAUCCAUGUUUUAAGUAUAAUUCCAUUUGUAAAUUAUCAUUUAGUCGCUUUCUCUUCAAAUAUACAUUUGACCUUCGUAAUUUUUUCAUCUCGAUCUUUUAUAGUUCUCCUAAGAUUAUAUAAUUAAAAUUUGAAUCAAAGUUUUUUGAUAAUUUCAAAAGCAGAUUUAGGUUUAAUUCUGGUUGUGUUUUGUUCCUAAAAUAGUUCUGUUUUUUUUUUGUAUACAACUGGAGUUUUUCGAGAGUAGAAUGAUAUUUGGACUUUGGAGGGAAUAUCGUAUUUUUUUAUGAGAAUGAGAACUGUCAGUAACUUGUUUAUAUAAAAAUUAUAAAAAUAUAGAUAAACUUGGUAAGAUCACAAACACAUCAUAAUUUAUUUAUUUCUUAAUGAUAUUGCUAUUUUAGAAUCCUAAAUGGUAAAAUAACAUAUAUAUUUUAAACAAAGAUUUAUCUUAAACAUAAAUAAUUAUAUUAUUAUUAAAAAUUUAGAUUUAUAUUUUAUUCAAAUAUCUAAUCUGGAUAAAAGUUUAUUUUGACAUUGAAUAAAGUGUAAAUUUAAAAAAUAGAAAGAUGUGCAAUUUUCAAAAUUUAAACUAUUAAUAGAGUUUUUUUCAAAAUUUCCCAAAAUUUGAAUAGCCUUUCUCAAACAACCCAGACAAACUAUCCCAUCUUACAUAUUCCCCACAAGUUGGGUGGCACUAUUAAUUAUUUUUCUGUCGUUUAUAUAAUCCUUUUUCUUUGUUUUUUGAACAAAAUCUUUUUAUUUGUUCUUCACUUGUUAAAAAAAGAAAUUAUGGUGGGGUCCAUCCCAUGUUCCUAUUUGCUUUUGGCACCAACCAUUUCAUAUAGACUCUUCAAAUAUUUGUUUUAAGUUAAUAAAUUGAUAUAGAACCAAUAUAUCAUUAAAUUUUUCUUUAUUCAUAAGCAAAAUGAGAGGAAUGGUUCCAAGGAUAAAUCAUUUUCUUCUAAACUGCCUAUACAUAGGCACAUAUGCAAUCAUAGGAUCAGAUUUAAGUCAAAGAUAUGGUCAUAUGAUUGACACCUAAUAAGAAAUAUUAAAUAAAUGGAUCCAAUGUUUCUACAUCGCCUUACACAGCACAUAUAUUCAUGUGUAUAAUUUGUAUCAUUUUUCUAAUAUCAUCAAAGAUGCUCAUUAAGCAUCUUAAUGAUUAAGUUAGCUCAUAGACAUCACAUGCUUUACAUAUUUUCCUUCACAUAUAUCACAUGCGGAAGUAACACAUACAGAUUCUUUAUUUACGAAAACAACAAUUUGGCGAACCAGUAACCACUAUGGAUAUGUAUUAUUGGCGGAUGUAAUAAACCCAUGAUGUUGUGUGUUUUCAAAUGAAUCAAUCCACAGAGUGGUGUACUGUAACUAUCAUAGACAAUAAUUUCAUAAAUGUUUUAUUGUAUUUCGAAAUUCCAAAAACGUGAACAAUCUUUAAACAUGUCAUCCCUGCUUGGCUUGGCCAGGAGAAGAAAAAGAGCAUGAGCAUGUGGCCUACUGUGUUCCUCUAGUGGAUUAAUUUUUGAAAAUAUUUUAUUAAUAAAAAUAUACAUAUAUCUUGAGGUGGGAAAACAAAGAAUCUACAAUAAAUCAGUGCACAUGGAGAGUCUAUUCUACAUAAGGGAGGUAUUCAAUUUCAUACCAGACAAGGAUAAUCUUUGGCUUUUCCAUCUGUUCGAACAUGGCUCGAGUAACAGCAUAUAUGUGAGCAUUUAUAUAGUAAAAAUAAAAAGAAUAAUGUAUUGGCAAAAUCUUCUUUAAAUUAACCAGACAGUAUUUAUUUGAGAAACGUGAAAGUUGGAAUAGAAUGAGAAUUUGAAAAUUGUAAAUGAGAUUGUGCCAGUCUUCUCAAUCACAUGAUUUGUGUUUGUGCUUUUUGUGACUACCGAGUGCCUUUUACUUUGGCAGGUAAAGGAUACUCAUCUAAUCAGUAAUACAUUUUCAGCACUAUGUAUAAACUAUGAAUGGACCUGCAAGAAAUAGACUAAACUAAAGGACCUAAAACAUUGUUGACAGGUAAUUAAUUUAGUACUUCCUUCUGCCAUCAUCAUUAGACCUAAUCAUCAUCACGCGGCAACCUAUAUGGUUAGGAAAAAAAAACUUUUAAAGCAUUUGGUCAUAGCGUGUACCUGGAAUCAAUCAUUAGAAUUCAAUAAAUUGUUAGGUUUAAUUUAUAAACUGUAUAAUAUGGCAUCAAUACAACAAUUAUUUUUUGUAUAAAUACCGAAACAAUUUUUUUUUUCUUUUGGUCAAAACUCAAAACCGAAACAAUAUCUAACUAGGUGAUACCCGUACCCUGCGCGGAGUGAGUGAUCUAAAAUUAAUUUUCAUAUAUUAAAUCUAUAAAUUGUUCAUGUAUAUAAGUUGUAAACUUGUUUUCUUUUGAUUUUAAAGAUUGUUUAAGUGGUUAUCUGUAAAUUAUAAACAUUUGAAGGUAACAAAGAUAUAAUAGUGUGCAAUAACUUAUAUUAAUUUAUUAUGAAUUUAAGACAAAACAUAAAAUAAGAAAAAGAAUUAUUACGAUCAUAAUAAAUUAUGAUUAAAAUAUUAUAAAAAACAUAGGCAAAGAAAAGUAAAAGUACUAACGAUCCCAAAUUAUAAAGAAAUAAAUUAAAAUCUGAAAAAACCAAAAUACUGUAAGAAGGAUCUUCAAAACUCCUGAUUUGCAAUUCUAUACCAAGAAGAAACUGAAAAUUAGUUUAGCAAACUAAACAUAAACUACUAACCAAAUUCACAAAAUAAACUCAUGGGAUAUACCUUUUUUUGAACUCAUUGAUUUUUGGAACAUCUUUGAGUUCAAAAAUGAUUUUGAAAAACCCAUCGAUGUUGGUGACAUGCUUCAGACGACCUUAAAAAGAAAAAAAGUUCAGCAAUAUAUGAAAGGAAUAUCAAUUCCAUAAAUUUGUUUAUUCUCAAUUAGUACAAUAUAUUACUUAGCUUGUUUGAAAGUUCUUUGUUUCUGAGAUUUUUUUUGGUUGAAAAAGAGGUAGCUAUGAGUUUAAUAUGAGUCGAUGUUUUAUAUGUAGCCAUAUAUUUAUAGUAUUAGACAAAUAAAACUACACAGAAUAAGUAAAUGGAAAGUGUAUAAUGUGAUUGAGAAAUUAAUCAUUUGUUACCAUAUUAGGCAUAUACGAAGAUUUAAGUUUCCUAUAAAUUUGAAUUUCAGUCAAUUAGAUUCAAUCUUGUGACUGUAAUAUGUAUUCAAGCUUUUAAAAAUAAAUCAUAUAUGCGGAUAUUAAAUGGAGUGAACAUAUAAGGAAAAAUCAUAUUUAAAAUAAUGGAAGUUGUUUCCGAAAAUAAAUCAGGAUUGAUCAUAAAUGGGAUUGAUCACGCAUAUUAACUACACGCAAUCUCGCUUUCAGAAAUCGGUAAGUACUAUAUUUUCGAACAUAAUAUGGGGAAAAAUAUUCAAUAUGAUAUUUGACCAAAUAGUAAGUGUAUCAGUUUUCAUAUUUGAAAUUAUACGAUAUCCCAUUUAGAACUUAGGUUUUAUGGCGUCACUUUAGAUAUUUCAAAUCCAAGGCAAAAUGGAACAUAACUAUAACAAAGCCAAACCAUAUACCAAUUGAAAUCGGUUUAGUGUCAAACAUUAGAAUAUCAAUACCCAAAUAAAGAUUAUAAAUUGAUUAGAAUAUCAAUUCCCAUCAAUUUUGCCACAUGUUUUCAAAUAAUUAUUUUAUUCACGUUUCGUUAUAUAAGAAACAAAUAUUAUGAUUAUAUUAUGUUAUUCAAUCAAUCAUGACUCAACUAAUAAUCAAUCAAAUAUUUCAACUCUACAAAACAAUAAAAAAAGAAUAGGGUGAAUACAAUGAUAUUAUGACUAUUAUUGAAAAGAAAUGUGACGUUGACAAAAAUGUUGCCUUUUACAAAAGAGUUAAUAUUGCAUUAUAAUUAACGUUGACAAAAAUGUUCAUAAAACGUUCAAUUAUAAUAAGUGUUUCUAAAAUAAGCAUAAAAUUAUUCAUAAAAUUAUUCUCGUUUCUUUAGUUGCAUUAUAAAGAAAUUUGAUAUUAGUUUAAAAAUGUUCAUAAAAUGUUGCAUAAAAAUGUUCAUAAAAUGUUGAUUCGGUUUCAGAAAUGUUCAUAAAACGUUGCAUUAUAAUACAAUUUGAUAUUAGUUUAAAAAUGUUCAUAAAAUGUUGCAUUAUAAUUAACGUAAACAAAAAUGUUCAUAAAACGAUUUGAUAGAUGUCGAACUUAUUUUGUUGCCUUUUACAAAAGAGUUAAUAUUCUGCCUGUCAUAAAUUCUCGUUUUGUUUUUUUUUCAAAUCGGAUUGUAGUCAUAUAGUAUAAUGUAUAUGACCAAUGACAUUUGGUUGUAGUUAUUCUAGUUCACAAAGGUUUUUUUUUUUAAAUUAGUGAGAGUGCUUGAGGUGAUGACAAAUAGGAAAUGACACUCAUGUAAUAAACACAUGAGGUCAAGGUUUAUUUCUAUGAAUGUUCCUCCUUUAAUAAGAAAGGGAUAUGACAUUAUCUGGUCUUAACAUUCAAGUUUUGCAAGGAAGGUUAUAACUGGAAUAAGCUCUAGACAGUUUUUACAUCUUUUUCUUUUGUCAUAAAAACCGUUUUAUUACUCAAAUUUGGAUGGUGUGCCGCACUAGAAUAGAACAACUCUAAAAUGAAAAAAAAAAAUCUGUACAACGAAAUCUAAUCAACAAUAAUUUUUUUAAAUAUAUAUAAAAUUUAUUCAACCAAAAAAACUGUAUUACAUCAAGUGCAUCUUUUGUUUCUCUAUGUAUAAAGAAAUGUAAAAUAAAAGAUUUUGCUUAUUUCUUUAUGGGUCUUGUCUUAUUUCAAACCAUGUUAUCAAACCUUCUUAAAAGUGCUUUACCAUUCUCUUUGACUGAUAAUAGCUUCAGCCCCACAGUUUUGUCAACAAUCUUUGUCAAGCAAAUCAUAUCUCUAGGUUUUUCUCCAUGCUUGCGAGAAUUCCUCUCCCACCAUAUAGUAUGCAUUUUUGCUUGUAGAGUAUAUCUAAGAAUGAAAGUCUUUAUGGGUGUUAGCCAUUGAUUCGAGACAAUCUCAAUCAAAUCAUUCCAAUUCGCAGUAAACAUAUCUUUCAUAAGCCCUUCUACAAGACUUUUCCAAAUCUCCCAUGAAUAUUGAUAUCCAAAGAAGAUAUGAGUGCAUGAUUUUGGUGUGUCAUUGCAGAGAACAAAGAUUGUGUUAACAGAGUUGUUCCAUUGCUGCAUUCUAUAUGUCGUCUGCAGUCUUCCUUUUAAAGUUAUCCACAUCAUGAAAAAAUACUUUAGAGUAGACUGGGAAAACCAGACUCCCUUGUUCCAUGCACUAGCAUGGCGUAUAUCACGAUAACAUUGAAUCCAUUGAACUCAUAAUGAUGAUUCUGAAGACAGUCUCCCUAUACGCUUCAGACAAUGCACUUUAUUUAUUUCCUUUAGAGAUCAAAGUCCUAAGCCACCUUUAUUCAUUGGGAAGCAAACAUCUUUCCAGCUCACUUUUGCUUUAGUUGUCUUAAGCUCAGGACAAGAUCAUACAAACGCAUAGCAUAGCUUUUAUAUCUCUUUUAAACAGCUUCCAGGUAGUCUGAAUGCUGCCAUCCAAAAAUUAGUUAAGCUUGUUAUGACCGAACUUAUAAGAUGUAGUCCUGUCCCAAAACUCAUUUUCUUUCUGACUUUUUCUACUAGUGCAAAUAGUCAUUUACAGUCAUGCGCUUGGUAAGAAAAGGAAAUUCUAAAUAUUUAACUGGUAGCUUACCAGAUGAGAAUGGGAAGGUCGUUAGAAUAUCCUUUUCAAUACCCUCUGAUAUGCCAGUGUAGAUUUUUCCAAGCUAAUCUUUAGGUCAAAAACGUGUUCAUAUUCCUUAAUACCUUGAUAACUCCUUAGAUUGAUCUUUUAGUACAAUCAGUGAAUACCAGCAGGUCAUCCGCAAAACACAGAUGUGAUAGUAAAAUGUUUUUGCACCUAGGAUGAUAGCCAAUUUGCUUCCUUUGUACUGCCUUGUCAAGCAUACAUGGUAAAAAAUUUAUGCAGAUUACAAACAGAUAAGGAGACAAUGUGCACCCUUGUCUCAAACCUCUCUUGCUUUGAAAAAAUCAUGCAAGCUCUCCAUUUACUUGCACCGAAAAAGAAGUUGUACAGACACAUAGCUCAAUCCAAUGUAUGAAUUUCUCAGGGAUAUUCAACGCCCUCAAUGUGUUUAGUAAGAAAGACCAGUGCACUGAGUCGAAAGCUUUUGUAAUAUUAAUCUUCAUAGUACAGUGUGGUGAAACAUCGUCCUUAUGAUAAUCUUUAACUAUCUCCGUUGCCAAUAACAAGUUCUCCACAAGAAGUCUUAUCCUUCACGAACGAAUAUUGAUUAUAAGAGGUACAUAUGGGAAGUGUACCUUUCAAUAUGUUGGCUAUGAUCUUUGAGAUCACUUUGUACAAGACGCUGCAACAUGAAAUCGGCCUAUAAUUCCUCAUCUCUUGAGAGGUGUCCUUCUUGGGAAUAAAUGCCAGUAUAGUAGCAUUUAAUCUAUUUGGAAAGAAACUUUUACUGAAGAAUGACUGCACUGCAAUUGUGAGAUUUUUCCCAAUUAUAUUCCAAGAGGCUUUGAAGAAUUCAGUAGUAUACCCAUCUGGUCAUGGAGAUUUAUUGCUAGGCAUUCUGAAAACCACAUCCCUUUUUUCCUCUUCUCUUACCAUUUUUGUAAGCCUUGUUCUUUCUUCUUCGUUGCACCGAAAUGGGAGAAUGUCCUGAAGCUCCUCUUCUUUUUUUCCUUGCAUACUAGUCAGCUCAAAAGUAAGGAAGUCGUUAAAAAAUCUCUCAGUUUCCUUCUUUAUAUCUUCUUGCAUAGUCACUAUGUUUCUAUCAGAACACUUUAUUUCUCGGAUUGCAUUUCUGGUUUCUCUGACCUUUGUUGCAUUAUGAAAAGCCUUAUUAUUCAUCUUCAACUUGCAAGCAGUGUAACUUCGAUCUUUGCUUCAAAACCUUCUCCUUUAUAGCCAAAAUCCUUUGCCAUCUCUCAGCUGCCUCUUGCUCUGCGUGAAUGUUUUCCUGUGAAGGCACCUCAAUUAAUCUCUCUUGUUUCUCACAGAGAUCGAUACACUCUUCUUUCACCUUUUUGUGAGAGAUCCUAACUUGUCUUUACUCAGAGAUUGAAUAAGAGGCUUCAGCCCUUUAAGAUACUUUGAGAAUCUGUAUAGAGCCAAAGUGGAUUGAAAUAAUGGUUGUGUAUCCUUCCAGUAGUUAGAGAUAACCUCCAUAAAUUUCAUUGUUUAUUCGACCAUGCUUUUGAAUUUAAACGGUUUGCAUUUACCACCAGCUUCAACUGUGAGAUGAAAAUUACCCCUUAGAUGAUCUGAUACUCCCCAUGCUUCAAAAAGUAACACCAUAUGCAUGCGUACGUUGGUGAAGUCAUGUUUCAUUAACCAGGAUACGAUCCAACUUUUUAUAAAUAGUCUCAUAUUUUCUCUUAUUACACCAGGUGAAUUUCAGACCCAGAUAACCCAUAUCCAUAAUGGCAAUGUUGAAUAAAAAAUUUAAAAUCUCGCAUUCCUCAAGUGAUUAAACCAGAAUCCUGAUGAUUUGAAUGUUCUUCCCCAUCCAGCACCUCAUUAAAAUCUCCCAUAAUAACCCAUUCCUUGUUUCUGAACAUUUGAAAAUCUUGAUGAGACUUGAUAUCCCUCCAUAACUCUCUUCUUUUCUCUAUCGUAUUUUCCGCAUAUACAAAUGAACAAAAGAAUUCCUCCUCUUCCCCUUCCAAAAGAACCGACACUGUAACUAUCUGAUCUGAUUUGAAAACCGGAGUCAUCCUGACUUGAGAACUCCAAAUCACCCAGAUUCUGCCUUUCCUGCUGAACUCGUAAUUAUUUAUAAACAACCAACCUUGAAAAACUGAGGAUACAAUUUGAACUGACUUGCUCCCCUUGACCCUUGUUUCCAAUAAACUCCCAAAUAGUAAUCCUUUAUUCUAUAUCCAAUAACGGACAACUUUAUGUUUAUUUACUUUAUUAAAGUCUCUCACAUUUGGAAGCAUGUCAUUGAGAUGGUUUCCGAUCUUGCCUUUUUUGAGGAUCAGGAAUGUUUGUAUCCUUACUUGUAUCAGGAACUAUCUUGUGAUGAUACUUUGAGUUCCUCGGUAAAGAAGGCCUCAAGUUCCCUCAUCUUGCAGCAAUCACAAUAUCUUCCCUUUGUUCUUCUACACUUCUCCCAAUACUUUUACUUUGUAUAUCUUUCUCAAGUUUCUUUAUGGUAUUACCGGAAACAUUAGUUUCUCCUUUUUUCCUUCUAAUAACUUCUUCUCAUCUUUUACAUUUGUCUUAUUUAUCAAAUCACCAUUAUCAACUACAACAACUAGAGCUGAGAACCAUGAUGGAGUCGCAAUUCUCACUUGACCAUAUUCAAGUGGUUUUGUCUUCGGGCUUAAUUCUACUUACUUUCCCAGGAGAAAUAUGAGACCAGCCUUUCAAUAUUUCACAAUCCUCUACUUCUAUUACUUCCUCAGCAACCUUGUUAAUAAGUGUUUGCUUUACUUCAUUCUCCUUUCUUUCUAUUGUAUUUUCCUUUUUGCUACCUUCCUCCUCAGUCUCCUUUGCUUUGAUCCCUUCUUGUGUUAUGUCAGCUACAAAUUUCUUUGUCCCAUCUUUGUUAUUCAAAACACAAACAUUCUUCUUAUGACCCCAUUUUUCAUAUGUGUGGCAUCGCGCUGGUAGCCAAGGAUAGAUGAAUUGUACUAGUGUUAACUUUCCAUUCUUCGUAAAAUUUCUUUUUGUAG
This is a long non-coding RNA of Brassica rapa (field mustard), 10401 nucleotides long. RefSeq lists it as uncharacterized. NCBI's taxonomy places the organism in Eukaryota, Viridiplantae, Streptophyta, Magnoliopsida, Brassicales, Brassicaceae. The record is from RefSeq and is a predicted model, not a curated record.